UCUAUGGCCAAACUGGUCAAGGCGUCGCCGAUUAUAGGCGACGAUGCGGGUUCGAGUCCCGCUGGA
RNAcentral lists this transfer RNA (66 nucleotides) under Operophtera brumata (winter moth). It matches the Rfam family "tRNA". Rfam says of the family: Transfer RNA (tRNA) molecules are approximately 80 nucleotides in length. Their secondary structure includes four short double-helical elements and three loops (D, anti-codon, and T loops). Further hydrogen bonds mediate the characteristic L-shaped molecular structure. tRNAs have two regions of fundamental functional importance: the anti-codon, which is responsible for specific mRNA codon recognition, and the 3' end, to which the tRNAs corresponding amino acid is attached (by aminoacyl-tRNA synthetases). tRNAs cope with the degeneracy of the genetic code in two manners: having more than one tRNA (with a specific anti-codon) for a particular amino acid; and 'wobble' base-pairing, i.e. permitting non-standard base-pairing at the 3rd anti-codon position. The record is from Rfam by way of RNAcentral. Lineage: Eukaryota; Metazoa; Arthropoda; Insecta; Lepidoptera; Geometridae.